RNAcentral lists this ribosomal RNA (253 nucleotides) under uncultured bacterium. Its description in RNAcentral is "partial 16S ribosomal RNA". It matches the Rfam family "Bacterial small subunit ribosomal RNA", at positions 524 to 776 of the family's 1533-position model. The record is from RNAcentral.
UACGUAGGCAGCAAGCGUUGUUCGGAAUUAUUGGGCGUAAAGAGCUUGUAGGCGGUUUGUCGCGUCUGCUGUGAAAAUCCGGGGCUCAACCCCGGACUUGCAGUGGGUACGGGCAGACUAGAGUGUGGUAGGGGAGACUGGAAUUCCUGGUGUAGCGGUGAAAUGCGCAGAUAUCAGGAGGAACACCGAUGGCGAAGGCAGGUCUCUGGGCCACUACUGACGCUGAGAAGCGAAAGCGUGGGGAGCGAACAGG